Molecule: unclassified non-coding RNA, 332 nt
Organism: Saimiri boliviensis boliviensis (Bolivian squirrel monkey)
Lineage: Eukaryota; Metazoa; Chordata; Mammalia; Primates; Cebidae
Gene: 7SK
Rfam family: 7SK RNA
About the family: 7SK was discovered as an abundant small nuclear RNA in the mid-70s but a possible function has only recently been suggested.
Source: Ensembl
GGACGUGAGGGCGAUCUGGCUGCAGUACCUGUCACCCGAUUGAUCUCGAGGGUUGAUUCGGCUGAUCUGGCUGGCUAGGUGGGUGUCCCCUUCCUCUGUCACCACUCCACGUGUGUCCCUCCCGAAGCUGCGUGCUCAGCUGAAGACAACCAUCCCUGAUAGAGGAGGACUGAUUUUCGGUCAAGGGCAUGUGAGUAGCUGCGCUCCCCUGCUAGAACCUCCAGACAAGCUCUCAGGUUCAGCCAUUGGAAGUAUAUUAACACAUGUUUGCUCCCUGAAAAUGCCCAUUCUCCCUGAGCUUUUGUCUCCAAACAGGAGAGAUGCUGAGUGGG